RNAcentral lists this small nuclear RNA (296 nucleotides) under Nannospalax galili (Upper Galilee mountains blind mole rat). RNAcentral describes it as "7SK RNA (ENSNGAG00000007938.1)". It matches the Rfam family "7SK RNA". Rfam says of the family: 7SK was discovered as an abundant small nuclear RNA in the mid-70s but a possible function has only recently been suggested. Two independent studies have found that 7SK RNA binds the CDK9/cyclin T complex (known as elongation factor P-TEFb). P-TEFb activates transcription by phosphorylating the C-terminal domain of RNA polymerase II. The record is from RNAcentral. Lineage: Eukaryota; Metazoa; Chordata; Mammalia; Rodentia; Spalacidae.
GGAUGUGAGGGUGAUCUGCCUGUGACAUCUGUCACCCUGCUGAUCACCAGAGUUGAUUCGGCUGAUCAGUAUAGCUAGGUGGCUGUCCCCUUCCUCCCUGACUGCUCCAUUUGCAUCCCUCCAGGAGUCUGUGUGCUAAGUCUAAGAGAACUAAUUGCCUUUCCACAUAGAGGAGGACCCGCUUUUAGUCCAUGGUAUGCACAUAGCUGCAUUCUCCUGCUAGAACCACCAAAAAUGUUCUCAAGAGCCAAAUGUAGGUGUUUACUGAUAGAGAUUUCCUUCGGAACACUUUAUUC